This 265-nucleotide ribosomal RNA is filed under the name uncultured bacterium. RNAcentral's name for it is "partial 16S ribosomal RNA". It matches the Rfam family "Bacterial small subunit ribosomal RNA", at positions 88 to 354 of the family's 1533-position model. The record is from RNAcentral.
CCGGCGACCGGCGCACGGGUGAGUAACACGUAUGCAACCUGCCCUCUUCAGGGGGACAACCUUCCGAAAGGGAGGCUAAUCCCGCGUAUAUCGGUUUCGGGCAUCCGAGAUCGAGGAAAGAUUCAUCGGAAGAGGAUGGGCAUGCGGCGCAUUAGCUAGACGGCGGGGUAACGGCCCACCGUGGCGACGAUGCGUAGGGGUUCUGAGAGGAAGGUCCCCCACACUGGCACUGAGACACGGACCAGACUCCUACGGAAGGCAGCAG